This 821-nucleotide ribosomal RNA is filed under the name Trechispora larssonii. RNAcentral's name for it is "Trechispora sp. SLL-2022f partial large subunit ribosomal RNA". It matches the Rfam family "Eukaryotic large subunit ribosomal RNA", at positions 77 to 915 of the family's 3401-position model. Lineage: Eukaryota; Fungi; Basidiomycota; Agaricomycetes; Trechisporales; Hydnodontaceae. The record is from RNAcentral.
CCCCUAGUAACUGCGAGUGAAGCGGGAAAAGCUCAAAUUUGAAAUCUGGCGGUUCCGCCGUCCGAGUUGUAUUCUGGAGAAGCGUCUUCCGCUCCGGACCGUGUACAAGUCCCUUGGAACAGGGCGUCAUAGAGGGUGAGAAUCCCGUCUUUGACACGGACCCCCGGUGCUAUGCGAUGCGCUCUCGAAGAGUCGAGUUGUUUGGGAAUGCAGCUCAAAACGGGUGGUAAAUUCCAUCUAAAGCUAAAUAUUGGCGAGAGACCGAUAGCGAACAAGUACCGUGAGGGAAAGAUGAAAAGCACUUUGGAAAGAGAGUAAAACAGUACGUGAAAUUGUUGAAAGGGAAACGCUUGAAGUCAGUCGCGUCUGCCGGAACUCAGCCUUGCUUCUGCUUGGCGCACUUUCCGGUCUGACGGGCCAGCAUCGGUUUCGAGCGGCGGACACUGGCGUGGGGAAGGUGGCAGCUCCGGCUGUGUUAUAGCCCCGCGUCGCAAACGUCGCCCGGGACCGAGGAAUCCGGCGCAAGCCUGGGAUGCUGGCGUAAUGGCUUUAAACGACCCGUCUUGAAACACGGACCAAGGAGUGCUACGUGCUCGCGAGUGUUUGGGUGGAAAACCCGGACGCGCAAUGAAAGUGAAAGUCGAUACCCCUUGUCCGGGGGCACCGACGCCCGAGCCUGAUGUUUUCGGACGGCCUUGCGGUAGAGCGAGUGCGUUGCGACCCGAAAGAUGGUGAACUAUUCCUGAGGAGGGCGAAGCCAGAGGAAACUCUGGUGGAGGCUCGUAGCGGUUCUGACGUGCAAAUCGAUCGCAGGACUUGGG